RNAcentral lists this ribosomal RNA (552 nucleotides) under Streptococcus lutetiensis. Its description in RNAcentral is "bacterial SSU rRNA". It matches the Rfam family "Bacterial small subunit ribosomal RNA", at positions 365 to 911 of the family's 1533-position model. The record is from RNAcentral. Lineage: Bacteria; Bacillati; Bacillota; Bacilli; Lactobacillales; Streptococcaceae.
UCGGCAUGGGGGGCACCCUGACCGAGCACGCCGCGUGAGUGAAGAAGGUUUUCGGAUCGUAAAGCUCUGUUGUAAGAGAAGAACGUGUGUGAGAGUGGAAAGUUCACACAGUGACGGUAACUUACCAGAAAGGGACGGCUAACUACGUGCCAGCAGCCGCGGUAAUACGUAGGUCCCGAGCGUUGUCCGGAUUUAUUGGGCGUAAAGCGAGCGCAGGCGGUUUAAUAAGUCUGAAGUUAAAGGCAGUGGCUUAACCAUUGUUCGCUUUGGAAACUGUUAGACUUGAGUGCAGAAGGGGAGAGUGGAAUUCCAUGUGUAGCGGUGAAAUGCGUAGAUAUAUGGAGGAACACCGGUGGCGAAAGCGGCUCUCUGGUCUGUAACUGACGCUGAGGCUCGAAAGCGUGGGGAGCAAACAGGAUUAGAUACCCUGGUAGUCCACGCCGUAAACGAUGAGUGCUAGGUGUUAGGCCCUUUCCGGGGCUUAGUGCCGCAGCUAACGCAUUAAGCACUCCGCCUGGGGAGUACGACCGCAAGGUUGAAACUCAAGAAAUU